This is a non-coding RNA of Felis catus (domestic cat), 85 nucleotides long. Lineage: Eukaryota; Metazoa; Chordata; Mammalia; Carnivora; Felidae. The record is from Rfam.
GCCUGGGUGGCUCAGGCGGUUGGGCGUCUGACUUCAGCUCAGGUCAUGAUCUCGCCAUCUGUGGGUUUGAGCCCCACGUCCGGCU